UGUAUAGACCAAUCAAGGUCUCAAAGGAAAGAGGCGAGUGCCUGUGCACGCGCCAGAAGCGAGUAGAGGAGGCACUAAGAGCCGUGUCAAUCACGCCCUCAAUCAGCGCCUAUCAUCUUCUCGUAAUAUCCGCUUCAACGGUUACCAACCACGUGGCAGUGAUCGUGGCAUUAAAGGAGCUUUCCAUGCAGAGGCCUUUGUUGGGCCUAAGUGUGAUCGUGGACCUAAAGCGUUCUCUGGGCCUGCCAAGACAAAUGGAUUGUUAGUCCAUCACAGUCCACAGGCUACAAAGGAGAUUAAAAGGGCUGUUAAGUGGGGGCCUAGCAACCAAUUAUCUUUUUCUUUACAGAAUGAUAAGUCCAACCCACAUUUUAUGCCCAAGCCCAAUCAUGAAGUAGAUUAGUCACGAGUUGGGCCACAAGUGAGUAAUCCAAAGAGAAAGGUAAUGCGGAGGCCCAAUAACUUGAUUUCAGUUUCUUUUAUUAAUUCCAAGCCUAGCCCACCUAUCUCUACAGAUAUUAGCAACUCAUAGAGUUAUCAUCUUAACGGCGCCGCUGCAUCUUUUUGGAAUUCGCCGGAAAAGAGGAGAUGGAUGAAUCUCUCUGCUGCCGAGGCUGGUGUAAGAUCUGCCGAGAAGGUUUUUCGUCAUUCUAAGUGUUGUGCCGACAUAUCAACUUCAUCCGCUUUUGUUUCUACACAGCCAAAGGGACAAAUUUCCAGAUUCUUGUCUCGGGAUUCUCACAGAAAUCGUCAUGGAGUUAGAUGGUCUAGAAAAGAUAAGCAGAAGUGGCCUUCUACUAACGAUCUAGUUAUGUCCUCAGUGUCACACCCUCGGAGCCCUUUCACUGCUCCAUCUUCUUUUUCUACCCCUUCUUGUGAGGUGUCGAGGGGUGACACAGAUGUGUUGGAAUCGGAGAAGAGGGUGUGGGCUGUCAAUUACGCAUAAUGGACCUGAAGCUAUGAAUGGUUUGAAUACGAAAGGAAAGGUUGUUGGUGAGACUGUUUUUUUUUGGGCAGUUGCAUGUUGCUGCCUGCGCAGUUAAGGAUUUUUCUGAAGGGGUUACAGUUUGUGUGGGGAGAGACCUGCAUUUUCAGUUGUCCAAUAAUGAGGCCGCGGCUCUGUUUAAAGAGCUUCGAUUUUAAGUGUAGCAUUGAAAGGCCUUAAUUGCUUGCCAUUUGCAGGGACAUAGGAGAAUGAGGCUGGUAGUUUCGUAGGAAUGAGCGACUUUGCUACAAGAUUAGAUUCUACAUAUGAGAAUGAAAGAUAUUUUGAAGAGGAGAUGGAUGGUGAUUUGGGGUCUAUCCAACAGGUUUGCUCUAAUGAGCUUGCCCCUUGGAUGGAAAAUGUUUCAAACAUAUUAGUGGAGGAACCACUGGUUGUUAUGUAACCUGACUGUUAUGAAGAGGCUACUGAUAUGGGGAAAGAUUGGAUAGUUGAUAAUAUUAGAGUUACUAGUGAGCUACUGGGAGUAUCAUUAGAGGGUAAUGACGAUUAGACACUAUCCAUCCUUCAAGAAGUUGUGGAAGGAAGAAAGGUCGUAAUGACCAAUGAAGUCAUGAACACGAGGCCCUUAUUGUCCUGGAAAGGGGCACAGGAAAUUAAGAAUCUCAUCUCUGAAGUCAACUAUGAAGGGAAGAGAGGAGUGGUGAAGGAAAGGGGAAGGACCAAGAGUAGGAGUUUUAGGAAGGGAGGAGGGGAGAUAAUUUUAUUUGGUUUUUAAUGAAGCUACGAAUCAUUACAUGGAAUGUUCGUGGUCUCAAUGAUCCGAACAAGAGGAGGGUGGUGAAGGUAGCGUUAAGGAAGUGGGGUGCCCAGAUUGUUUGUUUACAAGAAACUAAGCUGGCAUCCAUUUUUGACGGGGUGGUUAGGAGUUUGUGGGGAGGGAGGUUUGUGGAAUGGGAGGCCUUGAAUGUUAUAGGUACUUUGGGUGGGAUUUUAGUCAUGUGGGACAGCAGAUGGUUAUCUAUAACGGACGUGUGGUUGGGAAGAUCUUCUGUGUCUUGUGUGUUUAAGAUGGAAGAGGACAAUUUCAGAUGGGUUUUCACUGGAGUUUAUGGACCGGUUGUUGAUGAUAAACGACUUAUUUUCUGGGAGGAGUUUAGCCAUGUCCAAGGAUUGUGGUCUCUCCCUUGGUGCUUGGAAGGAGAUUUUAAUUUUGUCAGGUCCCAGUCAGAGGGGUCUACAGGGGGAAGAAGGUCCUUAGAAAUGGAUCAAUUUUUUGAUUUUAUCGAUGAGCAUUUUCUUGUUGACUUACCAAUGGAAGGUGCAGCCUAUACUUGGUCGAAUGGUAGGGAUCCAAUCACUCUUUCAAGACUGGACAUAUUUUUAAUUUCUGGGGAGUGGGAAAAGAAAUUCCCAGAUGUCGUUCAGGCGGUGUUAGCAAGGGUCACUUCUGAUCAUAUUCUUUUGGUCUUGGAUUGUAGGGGUUUGUGUUCUCGAAGAUCCUCGUUUAGAUUUGAGAAUAUGUGGCUGCGUGUGGAGGAUUUCCAAGGGAAAGUCAGAUCUUGGUGGAAGGGAGAACAGAGUCUUGUUGAUUUUUCUGAAAUUGAUCGUCUUGAGGAGGCGGGUGGGGAUGUGGAGUCUCUACGUUCUAGGAUAGCUUCCUGUCAGGUUGUUCUUGCUAAGAUUGCUAGUAUGGAGGAGAUUUCGUGGUGACAAAAAUCUCGGGCUCUCAAGCUAAAAGAAGGAGAACGGAAUACAAAAUUUUUCCACAGAUUAGCUAAUGCUCAUAGGAGGAGUAAUCAUAUAAGAAGAAUUCAGGUAGAAGGUGUAGAGUUAUGGAGGGAGGAAGGGGUGCGUAACGGGAUUGCUUCUUUUUACCAGAAGCUUUAUACCGAGCCAUUAGUUUGGAGGCCCAAACUUGAUGGUCUCCAUUUUGAGGAUAUUUCUGAGCUGGAUAGAGAUAGGAUUGAGAAUCCUUUUACUGAAGAAGAAGUUCUAAAGGCUUUAUCAAAUUGUAAUGGGGACAAAGCUCUGGGGCCUGACGGUUUUACUAUGCAUUUCCUGAUGGAAAGUUGGGCGGUAGUAAGAAAUGAGGUAAUGGGUACUUUUCAGGAGUUUCAUUCUACUGGUGUCGUUGAGAAGUCGCUUAAUACUUCAUUUAUUGCCCUUAUCCCCAAGAAGGGAGGCACUUCAGACAUAAAGGAUUUCUGUCCAAUUAGUUUGGUGGGUUGUAUUUACAAACUUAUUGCUAAGGUGCUUGCUCUAAGGAUGAGGGAAGUUAUGGAUGGGAUUAUCUCGGACUCCAAGAAUGCUUUUGUUGGAGGACGGCAAAUUCUUGAUUCAGUUCUUAUUGCUGGCGAAUGUGUGGAUUCCAGAUUACGUAGUGGUGUUCUUGGAGUAUUAUGCAAACUUGAUAUUGAGAAAACGUACAAUCAUGUGAACAGGAAUUUCCUACUCUAUUUUUUUUUACAAAGAAUGGGGUUUGGAAGUAACUUGUCUCUCGUUUGUCAAGUUUUUAAUUCUUGUGAAUGGUUCUCCCGCUGGUUUCAUUGGUUGCACUAGGGGUAUAAGACAAUGUGAUCCUUUGUCAUCUUUCCUUUUUCUUGUUGUUACGAAGGGUUUAAGCAGACUUAUGCGCAUGGCAAAUGACCUUGGUUUUAUUAAGGGAUUCAAGGUGGGUAGAAAUUCAGUCCAUCAGAUGGAGAUCUCUCAUUUACUUUUUGUAGACGAUACCCUGGUUUUCUGUGAUGCUGAUGUGUCUCAACUCCGAUAUUUGAGGUGUAUCCUGGCUUGUUUUCAGGUGGCUUCCGGGCUAAAGGUCAAUGCGGCUAAGAGUGUGCUUGUCCCAGUAGGGAAUGUUCAGGGUAUUUCCUCUUUAGUUGCAGUUCUUGGUUGCAAGGUGAGUUCUUUCCCUAUUCCCUAUUUGAGUUUGCCCCUAGGGAUCUCUUCAAGGCUAGUGGGGAGUUGGGAUUCAGUGAUUGACAUGUAUGCGAAGAGAUUGGUAGGAUGAAAGAAGCAAUACUUGUCUAAGGGGGGCAAAGUUACUCUUAUUAAGAGUAUGUUAUCGAGCCUCCCCACUUAUUUUCUUUCUAUAUUCCAAAUCCCUUGGUCCGUUGUGGAUAGGAUUGAAAAAAAUCAAAGGGAUUUCCUAUGUGGAGGAAGGGGUGAUGAGUUCAAGUAUCACCUUGUCAGAUGGGAGUAAGUUUGCACGCCUAUGAAAUUGGGUGGUCUUGGCAUAAGACAAUUAGUUCCUUUCAAUUAAGCUCUACUGGGUAAAUGGUUAUGGAGAUAUAGGAGGGAAAAACAUCGUCCUUGGCGCAGGUUAGUCUCUUGUCAGUUUGGGGAAGAGGUGGAGGCUGGAGGCUAGUCUAUACAUCCGGUUUCCCUUAUGGGAGGACUAGGGAUGUGGAAGUCUAGUCGGAAUGGGAUGCUUUUUCUGCUCAUAUCAGGUUCAAAGUCCGUGAUGGACGUCGAGUUCAUUUUUGGGAAGAUCUUUGGUGCUGUGAUUAGCCACUAUCUCGUACAUUUCCUAGAUUAUUCAGUAUUACAGUUAAUAAACAUGCCUACGUAGCUGAUUGUUAUCAGCUUGAUAGCAGUGGGAUUACGUGGGACGUGUACUUUCGGCGCUCUUUUCAGGAUUGAGAGUUGGAUGAGAUGUGUGUUUUUCUGAAUCUAUUGUAUCGGCAGGAGGGUGUUGGCAGAGAUAUUAACGACUUGAUUUGGGUUCCUUCUUCCCACGGUCGCUUCGAAGUAAGAUUCUUGUUCUUAUGUCUGUUUAAUUUUGAUAAUCGUGACUUCUCGUGGAAGACUAUUUGGUGAUUCAUGGCUCCAACUAGGGUAGCUUUCUUUGUUUGGACCGCUAUUUAGGGAAAGAUUUUGACACUUGAUAAUUUGAGGAAAAAGGGGCAAUUGUAUUGUUAAUUGGUGUUGUCUAUGCAAGAAAGAUGGAGAGUCAGUUGAUCACUUCCUUAUGCAUUGUCCUGUGGCGAACAACUGUUGGAAUCUUAUUCUCGGGUUGUUUGGCAUGUGUUGGGUAAUGCCACGAUCUACUAAUGAAUUGAUUCAUGUUUGGAAAUUAAGGAUGCCGUGUGAGAAGGGAUAUACGUGAUUUCUGGAGAAUUGUCCCACAUUGUAUAUGGUGGUGCAUUUGGAAGGAGAGAAAUAGCAGAAUGUUUGAAGGAAAAGAGUCGUCUACGGCAAUUGUGAAACUUCACAUUCUUCGUUCUCUUUUCAAUUAUGUGAAGAGGAGCUCUUGUUCAUUUUCUGAUGAUUUAAUUAUUUUUUUGGAUUCUUUGGGGCCUUAGCCCCGGUUUCACUUUAUACAGACGUGUUCCCCUUUUGAACGCCUUUUUAUGUUAUUAUUACUUAUAUAAAAAAAAAAGUUAUAGUGUGCCAUGCUUUGCGUUGAAGCAAUUUUCUUAUUGAAAUUAGAGAAUGGAGGGUUUUUAGGAUUUCAGGAAGAACUUAAUUGAGUUAAAAUGUUUUGGCUUUAGGUUUUGAUGGUGUGUUACAUGAUAUAAGAUGUUUAGGGUGUGUUUAGCUGCAUGAAAUUGAAGCCUUGAAAUUGGAAUUUGUAUGAGAAAUUUUUGGUUCAAUUUUCUUAAUUUUUAUCAAAUUCCACCAAUUUCAAGACUCCAAUUCCAUGAAAUCGAAGACGCCCUUAGUGCUUUUAUGGCCCAAAUGCUUUUUUUAUUGCCACGUGACGAUGUAGUGGCAAGAGUACUGCUCUUUGAAAGUGUAAUAUUGCUCUUGAUUCAGGAGUUUUUGACACUAGUGUAGUGCCUGUAUGUGUUUUUGACAUGAGUGUGAAACUGAAAAUUAGUAUGGAAAUUGACGAGUUCACAACAAAUGGUUUGUGGAUUGAGUACUUUUGAGGUUGAAAAAUAAUACGUUUAACAUGUAGAGCAUGUGUUUAGCAUUUUUGUUAUGGAUUAGCGAAGAAAUAAAUUAUACUCACACAUACAUAUCUUCACGAAAGCUCGAACUCCUAACAUCUCUUCGAAAAGUAGGAGUCUGAUACCGCUAGGCCACUGACCUGUUGGUAAAUAGAUAUCUUUUUCUCUUGAUUAUUAUAAAAAUAGAAAUAAAAAUAAAAAUAAUUAUAAUUAUAAUUAUAAUUAUAAUUAAUUUAUGAUGGAAGAAAUCAAUCAGAUUUUAGUAAAAUUUUAUUUAUUUCACCAAGGAAAAAAAAAGAAUAUUUUUUCCUUAAAUAGGAGAAUUUUUUUUAUUUUUUUUGCUUCCUUCAAUGAUUUUUAUUGGGGCUAAUUUUUUUUUUUUUUUUUAAAUAUAUUAUGCUCCAUACGAAAAUAAUAAUUUUGAAAAUUUUAUUGCAAAUGAUCCGAAUAUUUUAUAAAAAAUAAAAUAAGAUUAUUGCUGUAGAUUUUUAAAUUGUCCAUUUCUCUCUUGUUAUGAAGUUUUGUUAAACAACUCUUAUAUUUUUGGAAUCUUUUUUUAUAAGCUUUCCGUGCAUAUAUUAUAUGCAAUAUUUGGAUUAUUUUAUAAGUUUUUCGUGAAUAUAUUAUUUACAAUAUUUGGAUAUACGAAGAUAUAAAUUUUUGAAGUUCGAAAAAAUUAAAAUUUAAAUAAAGGGCAUUUUUGUCCAAAUAUCAAGUAUUUUACCCUUUUAGAUAGUUGAGGUUUCUUUCAUAAAAAAUUAGUCGGGAAUUUAUUAAAAAUGGUUACAAGUCGAAGGAAUAUGACGAGGUUUACUGAAAAGGGUACAAAGGGAAUUUUUAUACUUUAUCCUAAUUUAUUUUUUUAUUUAUCAUUUAUUAUUUUUAGUCAUAUAUAAUUGACACGAAAUAUGUAUUUUUUCGAAUGUAUCUAACAUUUGUAAUGCUAUUACUGAUAAGUAUUGAUCAAAUUUAAUAACUUUCUAUAAAUUUGCGACUAUUAACAUUUAUUUGGUGAUUGUGGGUAUGCAAUAUUUGAACACUUGUAAACUCUAAAUGUUGGGAACUCUAUAUAAGUUGAUUGCAUUGAGGUAUAAAAUUGUUUAGAACCUAUCGCUUUCGUUUGGAGCAGUGAUCUUUCGUUUGGAGCAGUGAUCCAACAAACAGACACAUUUGUUACAUCAAUUGUUAUACACUCAGCACAUUUUGAUUGCAGCGGAGAAACUAGGAAGGAAAUGACAAUUCAUCCUUUAUUUAUAAGAUUCCAUAAGAUAAAGAAAUUCUAGAUCAUACACAAUAUUAAAAAACUAGAUAAAAUUCUAAACAGAUACUUCAUAAAAAUCUACCUAAAUAUCUACAUUCACUUCUCUACAUUUCCACACAAUUAUAGAAACAAGCGCACUCAACUGUGACUCUUUUUCCCAAUCGACUUUCUAGCAAGGACGUGUGGUUCGGGUUAGAUAAGGUUCAUUUAAUUGAAAAACUCCCAUGAGUUGACUGGGGUGUGAUACCUGUUGAGUCUAAUUUUGCUUUCUCUUUUGCCUUCGGGUACUGUUGCUUGGUGGAAGUCUGUUUGGCGUGUGACAUCCCUUCUAAAAUCAAGCAUUUUUAAUGUUGCCAUGAUGCACUUCCUACGGGGUUAGCUCGAGGUUUGCGACUUUCUCCUUGUUGUGCUCGCCGUGGAGUUGAGGACGAUAGUCUUGUUCAUUUUUUUUUUUUUUUUUUGAAGUGCCCUCGUUCUCUUCAGGUGUAGAAAUUGUCCCCGUUUCGGCUGGAUUUUUCAAAUGCCGUUUUUGCUUCCUUUUUAGACUGGUGGUUGUGUAUUUUGCGCCAUGUUGUUUCUUCUCCUGCCGGCAAAUCUGGUAUGGGGCUGCUUUCUUUUUGUCUUUGGGCGUUGUGGAAGGCUCGUUAUAGGAAACUCAUGCCUUUUAAGAUUAAGACUUCCUUGCAACCUUCAGGAUUGACACCAAGAGAUAAGAAUGUCUAUAUUUCGGUUUAAUUCAUAUGUAACUAGUUGAUGCAUCUAGAUUCACUAAGGCAUCCGUUUUAUGCUGCUCCAAAUGUCUGCCUUUCACAUUUGCAGGCCCAAUUCAUCUUUGAGAUUAAAGGCCUCAAGGGAGCCUUUGGGGCUGACUCGAGAACUCCCAAAUAACAAAGAUACGAGCAUAGCUGGAGCUGAAAAUGGGCGUGAUGUAUUCAAUGAGAUGAAACAUCGAUUUCUGAAUUUCAAAAAACAUACAUACUU
Molecule: RNA transcript, 8080 nt
Organism: Cornus florida
Lineage: Eukaryota; Viridiplantae; Streptophyta; Magnoliopsida; Cornales; Cornaceae
Gene name: beta carbonic anhydrase 5, chloroplastic-like
Exons: 2
Source: RefSeq, a predicted model, not a curated record